UGGGGAAUUUUGGACAAUGGGCGAAAGCCUGAUCCAGCAAUGCCGCGUGUGUGAAGAAGGCCUUCGGGUUGUAAAGCACUUUUGUCCGGAAAGAAAUGGCUCUGGUUAAUACCUGGGGUCGAUGACGGUACCGGAAGAAUAAGGACCGGCUAACUACGUGCCAGCAGCCGCGGUAAUACGUAGGGUCCAAGCGUUAAUCGGAAUUACUGGGCGUAAAGCGUGCGCAGGCGGUUGUGCAAGACCGAUGUGAAAUCCCCGAGCUUAACUUGGGAAUUGCAUUGGUGACUGCACGGCUAGAGUGUGUCAGAGGGGGGUAGAAUUCCACGUGUAGCAGUGAAAUGCGUAGAGAUGUGGAGGAAUACCGAUGGCGAAGGCAGCCCCCUGGGAUAACACUGACGCUCAUGCACGAAAGCGUGGGGAGCAAACAGGAUUAGAUACCCUGGUAGUCCACGCCCUAAACGAUGUCAACUAGUUGUUGGGGGAUUCAUUUCCUUAGUAACGUAGCUAACGCGUGAAGUUGACCGCCU
This 527-nucleotide ribosomal RNA is filed under the name uncultured bacterium. RNAcentral describes it as "partial 16S ribosomal RNA". It matches the Rfam family "Bacterial small subunit ribosomal RNA", at positions 355 to 874 of the family's 1533-position model. The record is from RNAcentral.